AGGGGUGUAGUUUAGUGGUAAAACUACGGUCUCCAAAACCGUUGUUGAGGGUCCGAUUCCUUCCACCCCUGCCA
This 74-nucleotide transfer RNA is filed under the name Bacteroides sp. RNAcentral's name for it is "tRNA-Trp". It matches the Rfam family "tRNA". From Rfam's summary of the family: Transfer RNA (tRNA) molecules are approximately 80 nucleotides in length. Their secondary structure includes four short double-helical elements and three loops (D, anti-codon, and T loops). RNAcentral also lists the same sequence under 2 other names. The record is from RNAcentral. Lineage: Bacteria; Pseudomonadati; Bacteroidota; Bacteroidia; Bacteroidales; Bacteroidaceae.